GACGUAGGGCGCGAGCGUUGUCCGGAUUUAUUGGGCGUAAAGAGCUCGUAGGCGGCUUGUCGCGUCGUCCGUGAAAACUUGGGGCUCAACCCCAAGCUUGCGGUCGAUACGGGCAGGCUAGAGUUCGGUAGGGGAGACUGGAAUUCCUGGUGUAGCGGUGAAAUGCGCAGAUAUCAGGAGGAACACCAAUGGCGAAGGCAGCUCACUGGGACGAUACUGACGCUGAGACGCGAAAGCGUGGGGAGCAAACAGG
This 253-nucleotide ribosomal RNA is filed under the name uncultured bacterium. RNAcentral describes it as "partial 16S ribosomal RNA". It matches the Rfam family "Bacterial small subunit ribosomal RNA", at positions 524 to 776 of the family's 1533-position model. The record is from RNAcentral.